This 1221-nucleotide long non-coding RNA is filed under the name Canis lupus familiaris (dog). Its description in RNAcentral is "lncRNA (ENSCAFG00000050334.1, ENSCAFG00805019387.1, ENSCAFG00845007664.1)". Lineage: Eukaryota; Metazoa; Chordata; Mammalia; Carnivora; Canidae. The record is from RNAcentral.
UUUUUGUUUUUAAGCUUGCCUUCCUAGAGCUCACCCAUGCAUUUGUAUAGCUUGGCUUUCAGUAAAAGAUUGCACAGAGAUUGUUUCACACUUCAAGCCAAAAAGGCUUCCACUUUCUGCUGAUGGAUCUUUGUGCAAGCUGGAGAAAAUAUUAAACCAUUAGAUCAUUUUCAACUCUUCCCAGGCUUUUAACUUUCCACCAGGUUUUUGUCACAUAAUCUCUGCACCUGCAUGCAGGUUCUGUCAGCCAAGGAUAGGUGGAUGACUUGGGACCUCUCUGGUCCCUGUGUACAUAUGCACAGCCUCAACUGUUAGGAUCUAUUUAAGACCUGAACAUAUGAGAAAGCUAUGUGCUGUACCAAGAGUUUCCUUUUUUGUUUUGAAGAGAAGUUAAGUGUAAUUUGAUUUUUUCUCAAGGGCCACCUUACAUUACACACUUUCUAAUAGAUAAUAAAGCUCAUUACAAAGCAAGGGCAUCCCACAGCAGAGCACCACGAAAAAGUAUGUAUAUUUUAUUAUACUAAACAUUUACAUCUAGAGAAGAUUGAUGCAUUUGUUAAUGUUGUUGUUCUAUGCUAAGAAAAAAUAAAAGAAAAAGAAAAAAGAAACAUGAAUGACCCCUGCAGGCUGUUCAGUGUCAUUAAAAACACUAUGACUUUUUAAAAAUAGCCAUACUAGAUGGGAGUUACAGCCCAAAAAACUCCAAAUACAUCUGAUUUCAGAGGAAGGUGCAAAGCCAACUGUAUAGCUACAUCUGAUUAUUUUCUGAUUAUUGCACUAAGGGGAAAGAAGGCUAAUAUCAAAUGAAAAUAGAUAAAUAAAAUCUUCUCUCUGGGAAACAUACUUAUGACACUGGGCUAUAUAAAAUAUAGGUUUCAGCCAAAAUUAACAAAAAGGCUACCCCCUCUAGCCUUCAGUCACCAAGUAUUUUCUCUUAAUUUGUAAAAAAUCCAUUUAUUUAUUCACUAGGCAUUCAUGGAGCAUCUGCUGUGGGCCAAACACUGGGCCAAGCACUCUACUAAAUACUGGAUAUAUGGAGUGUAUGAGUUAGCCUCUGUGUCCUAAAAGACCUUACAAUUGAGCAAGGGAGAAGAAUUAAUAAACCUAACAUGUAAGCAUACUAUAAUCAGUGCUAUGAAAAAGAAAUCCUACCUGAAAGGAUCAGAGAACACUUCCCAAAAGAGAUGACAUGAAUGGAUCCUGAAACAUAAAUAGGAAUUA